AAUAUAUAUAUAUAUAUAUAUAACUGUAUCUUUUCAGAAUUUGGUUCACACAACUAAAUAGCAUAACAUUUUGAAUUAAGACCUUGAAUCAACUUUUAGACACUAAUUGACAAUAUUAAUCAUAUAUAAUUUACAAAUGGAACUCAAGGAAAGAAUACCCACAAUCUAUUGAACCCAUUACACAACAGACAAAAGAAAUAUAGUAGCUACUUAAGGCAUAAAAACUAACCUCAGCACUAGCUCAAUUGAGCUAGAAUGAAGAAAAAUUUGAAUACAUGGAUUUUAACCUAUAUUCAUACAAAAUACCUAAAAUCUCCAUCAUAUUUGUUCCACUAGUCCGUCAUAUAAUUACAUAUAAACAUGGAAAAUAUUAAUAUAUCACAGUUUAGAUGCGUACCUUAUUUGAAAAAACCAAUUGCUCUUAACUUACAAUGUUAAAAAAUGAGUCUAUAAAACCAAAAAGUCAAUUGCACUACUACUUAUUUUUUAUAAUUUUAUUGCAUCCAUUAGAAAUAUGACCUUUUGGCCUAUUUAUACUUUUGUAUGCUACAAGUUUUAACCUUUAAUCAAUGUACAUGACAUUUGGAUUUUGUCACCUUUAACUAAUGUAAAUAACUUUUGGAUUUUUCCACCUUUUGGCAAUGUACAUGACUUUUGGAUUUUGCCACUUUUUGGCAAAUGUAUGUAACUGUUCAUGCCAUUGUUCUUUAUUCUGAUUUUAAGUAUAAUGUAUCUGGAUUGACCCAAAUAGGUGACCUGGACCAUAUUUCCAACAUAGAAGAUAGAUUAAGAGGGGAGAGAUGCAAUGAGCAUGAGAUUGAGAAGGACAAGCUUGAUGAAGAUGGUGAAAUGUUAACUCUCCCAGGAAGCUUUGCUGCAUUGCACACUCAGCUUAGUCCUUUACCUUGUGAAGUGUCUCACACA
Molecule: unclassified non-coding RNA, 924 nt
Filed under: Hevea brasiliensis (rubber tree)
Lineage: Eukaryota; Viridiplantae; Streptophyta; Magnoliopsida; Malpighiales; Euphorbiaceae
Source: RNAcentral